Molecule: non-coding RNA, 133 nt
Organism: Anopheles gambiae (African malaria mosquito)
Lineage: Eukaryota; Metazoa; Arthropoda; Insecta; Diptera; Culicidae
Source: Rfam
AACAGCAAAUUCUUGGCAACGGGGUAGGUUCCGAAGCCUCUAAGAAGGCUAACACAGGCUCUCCUAUCCAACUCCUAUCCUGACACGUCCUUUACGUGCCGAGUGGUAACAUCCUGUAGCAUAUCUGCUAUAC